UGGCUCAGGACGAACGCUAGCGACGUGCCUAAGAAAUGCAAGUCGAGCGAGGCCAUGGAGCUUGCUCCGGAGGCCUAGCGGCGAACGGUCGCGUAACACGUAAGCAACCUGCCCCAAAGUUUGGGAUAGCCCUCCGAAAGGGGGAUUAAUACCGGAUGUGGAUGUCGAUAUGCAUGUAUUGACAUCUAAAGCAUUUAUGCGCUUUGGGAUGGGCUUGCGGCCUAUCAGCUAGUUGGUGAGGUAACGGCUCACCAAGGCGACGACGGGUAGCUGGUCUGAGAGGAUGGUCAGCCGGACUGGGACUGAGACACGGCCCAGACUCCUACGGGGGGCAGCAAUUAGGAAUCUUGCGCAAUGGGCGAAAGCCUGACGCAGCGACGUCGCGUGAACGAUGAAGUCUUUCGGGAUGUAAAGUUCUUUUCUGAGGGAAGAAGGAUGUGACGGUACCUCAGGAAUAAGCCCCGGCUAACUACGUGCCAGCAGCCGCGGUAAUACGUAGGGGGCGAGCGUUGUCCGAAUUUACUGGGCGUAAAGCGCGCAUAGGCGGACUCUUAAGUUGGUGGUGAAAUGCCGAGGCUCAACCUCGGAACUGCCUUCAAAACUGGGAGUCUAGAGGCUUGGAGAGGGAAGUGGAAUUCCUGGUGUAGCGGUGAAAUGCGUAGAUAUCAGGAGGAACACCGAUGGCGAAGGCAGCUUCCUGGCCAUGUCCUGACGCUGAGGUGCGAAAGCUAGGGUAGCGAACGGGAUUAGAUACCCCGGUAGUCCUAGCCGUAAACGAUGGAUACUAGGUGUUAGAGGUAUCGACCCCUCUAGUGCCGAAGCAAACGCAUUAAGUAUCCCGCCUGGGGAGUACGGCCGCAAGGUUGAAACUCAAAGGAAUUGACGGGGGCCCGCACAAAGCGGUGGAGCAUGUGGUUUAAUACGUCACUAACCGUAGAACCCCACCCAGGCUUGACAU
RNAcentral lists this ribosomal RNA (958 nucleotides) under uncultured organism. RNAcentral describes it as "bacterial SSU rRNA". It matches the Rfam family "Bacterial small subunit ribosomal RNA", at positions 20 to 987 of the family's 1533-position model. The record is from RNAcentral.